GACGAACGCUGGCGGCGUGCUUAACACAUGCAAGUCGAGCGGUAAGGCCCUUUCGGGGGUACGACGAGCGGCGAACGGGUGAGUAACACGUGGGUGACCUGCCCUCAGCUCUGGGAUAAGCCUGGGAAACCGGGUCUAAUACUGGAUAUGACUCCAUGACGCAUGUUGUGGGGUGGAAAGCCUUGUGCGGCUGAGGAUGGGCCCGCGGCCUAUCAGCUUGUUGGUGGGGUGANGGCCUACCAAGGCGACGACGGGUAGCCGGCCUGAGAGGGCGACCGGCCACACUGGGACUGAGACACGACCCAGACUCCUACGGGAGGCAGCAGUGGGGAAUCUUGCGCAAUGGGCGAAAGCCUGACGCAGCGACGCCGCGUGAGGGAUGACGGCCUGGUGU
RNAcentral lists this ribosomal RNA (394 nucleotides) under uncultured bacterium. RNAcentral's name for it is "bacterial SSU rRNA". It matches the Rfam family "Bacterial small subunit ribosomal RNA", at positions 28 to 422 of the family's 1533-position model. The record is from RNAcentral.